UUACAAAACUCAACUGAUUAAAAAUUUUUUGUACUAAAUUUAUUUUAUUUGAGAUAUUAAAAUAUAAAGAGACUUGGGAUGAGUAAUAGUUACUUGAAUUUUGUUGAGGUAUUUUAUGCCUCCAACAAUAACCUACCUCCAGUAGAGGUUGCGAAAGCAGCUCGCGCGCACUGGGACACUUUACCAUCUAAAGAAAAACAUAAGUACCAUGUAGAGAGCAAUGAGACCGCUGAGAACCUCCAAGAUGACUUGGCUAUGGAAUGUGGAACAUGUGGUAAGAAAAAGAAGAACCCUUGUGCGAAAAAAAAGAAGAAAACUUGUCCCAAGAAGAAGCGUAAUCCCUGUGCUAAGAAGAAAAAACCAUCGUGUAAGAAAAAGCCUAAUCCGUGCAAGAAGAAGAAAAAGCGUCGUCAAAUUUGUUGCUAAUAAGUAACAAAUUUUCAAUGCAGACUGGAGUAAAAAUAAUUAGGUGGAAAUUUUCAACUCUUGUUUCCAGUCUGUUAAGUCCACCGGACAAAAAACAGGUCAAAAAACUUCUGUGCAAAAUUCAAUACCAAUAACUUAUUUAUUCGUACAUCAGCGUUCAAAUAGUCAAAUGACAUUUUUGUGUACGAAAGCACGCUGUGAGAGUUAGUGUAUAUUUUUAUCAGCCUCAUCUGAUCUGAUCCUGAUCCUAAUCUGAUUGAUCAAAUUCCUGAUUAAUUAUUAUUGUGGAAUUCCUCAAGAAAGGUUUAUAAGCCCUCGUAUUUGCACCAUACAAGCCUGUAUAUAUCCUGUAUUAUAUGUCCUGUAUUUUCUGUACUGCAAUGUAAGGACGAGUCAAGAAACUAUUCCCCCACAAAACUCAUUAAAAAAAUUAUCAAAAUUCAAAGAAAGCUUUUAGAGUCAUUAAGUAUUUUAAGAAAAUUGUGAGUCAAGUCUGCAAUUAUUCGAAACGAAACGAAAUCUUAUGUCGAUGUUUAGAAAAUUCAAGUAGAUUGAGGUUGUUGUGAGUCAAGUCUGUAUAUUUUUUAGAAACUAACAUAAAUCUAUUAAAUUCUAUGUAUAAGUUGUAUGUUCAUAUUAAGAAAGUUUAAGUGGAUUGAUAUUGUGACCAAUCCUGCCUACUUUUUAAGAAACUAACACAAACUUAUUAAAUUUAUUUAGUAAUAUAUAUUACAUAUUUAGGAAAAUAUCAUAAUAUUGUAAA
Molecule: RNA transcript, 1189 nt
Organism: Teleopsis dalmanni
Lineage: Eukaryota; Metazoa; Arthropoda; Insecta; Diptera; Diopsidae
Exons: 5
Source: RefSeq, a predicted model, not a curated record